UACGGAGGAUCCAAGCGUUAUCCGGAUUUAUUGGGUUUAAAGGGUGCGUAGGCGGCCUGUUAAGUCAGGGGUGAAAGACGGUAGCUCAACUAUCGCAGUGCCCUUGAUACUGAUGGGCUUGAAUGAACUAGAGGUAGGCGGAAUGUGACAAGUAGCGGUGAAAUGCAUAGAUAUGUCACAGAACACCGAUUGCGAAGGCAGCUUACUAUGGUUUUAUUGACGCUGAGGCACGAAAGCGUGGGGAUCAAACAGG
RNAcentral lists this ribosomal RNA (253 nucleotides) under uncultured bacterium. RNAcentral's name for it is "partial 16S ribosomal RNA". It matches the Rfam family "Bacterial small subunit ribosomal RNA", at positions 524 to 776 of the family's 1533-position model. The record is from RNAcentral.